RNAcentral lists this ribosomal RNA (496 nucleotides) under uncultured bacterium. Its description in RNAcentral is "partial 16S ribosomal RNA". It matches the Rfam family "Bacterial small subunit ribosomal RNA", at positions 29 to 507 of the family's 1533-position model. The record is from RNAcentral.
AUGAACGCUGGCGGCGUGCCUAAUACAUGCAAGUCGAGCGAACAGACGAGGAGCUUGCUCCUCUGACGUUAGCGGCGGACGGGUGAGUAACACGUGGAUAACCUACCUAUAAGACUGGGAUAACUUCGGGAAACCGGAGCUAAUACCGGAUAAUAUAUUGAACCGCAUGGUUCAAUAGUGAAAGACGGUUUUGCUGUCACUUAUAGAUGGAUCCGCGCCGCAUUAGCUAGUUGGUAAGGUAACGGCUUACCAAGGCAACGAUGCGUAGCCGACCUGAGAGGGUGAUCUGCCACACUGGAACUGAGACACGGUCCAGACUCCUACGGGAGGCAGCAGUAGGGAAUCUUCCGCAAUGGGCGAAAGCCUGACGGAGCAACGCCGCGUGAGUGAUGAAGGUCUUCGGAUCGUAAAACUCUGUUAUUAGGGAAGAACAAAUGUGUAAGUAACUAUGCACGUCUUGACGGUACCUAAUCAGAAAGCCACGGCUUACUACGUG